UGAUUACUCAGCGAUAUGCGAUUAAAAGCUUCAAAUUUGCAGAAACCCAUCUUCUUCAGCUCCUACUCUGCCCAUGAUAUUCUCAGAGCGUCUUUCAUUGAGAAGUUUCUGGUCUCCAGAAUCCUUUUUGUGCACUUAAGAUUCCUUCUUGGUGUUUGGAGAAAGUUAAGUGAACAUCCCAGUGCAGUGACUUCAACAUGUUCUCAACUUCUCUUAUCACAUUUGAUUCGUCACGAACUAUUAGUUUACCUCCUGGUCUUACUAUUCUAUCCACUUCUGCCAUUACUGGAACAAGAUUGCACCUUUCAAAACAAAACAAAACAAGAGACUUAUUGUUGAUGAAACGUUACCAAAAGGUGUGGAUAUUAUGAGUUACGCUUAUACCUUGUUCUCAACUUUGAGAAAAGAUGAUCUGCAUGUAAGAGAUCAUAGCUUCGAGGGUAUGUGCUAAAUGAUUCACACCAGUCAUGAUAUAUUCCGAAUAGGCCUCUCUCGUAGAUUAUCGGUAGUGUAUCUGGUGAAUUUAUGUUUACUACAUUCAUUACCCACACCUGUAGGUCCUUCAGAGCUGCUGCAAACCUGCAUUUUUACGUAGUUAGUAAAAAAAGGUUUAGUUUUGGUAAGUGAGAUUUUAGUUUGAUUUGUUUUCGUUGAUGCUCACCCUCCGUAGACAGCUCGCAUGUCCAUUACAUUCCUCACAUUUGACCAGCUGAUUCCUAUUUCAUUCAUGUAUACUUUGCUUACAACAUGUUUCCAGUGUUCAUAAUCUGUAGUGAAAUCUCGAGGAGCUGGUUUCCCAUAUAUCCCCAUUUGAGAGCUGUUUAACCAGUAAGGCGGUGUUUGAAGCCGACGGGGCCAAUUCACGGGCCACUUGCUUCCUCUCUCGACCACAUUGGUUUCUGGUAGAUUGCAGCACCAAUACCAUUGAGUUUAUCCUUGUUGAUUGUCACAAGUUCCCAGCACAAGGAUUUUGUCAACGCGGACAUUUCUACAUCACUCAAAACAUCUCAGGUUCAGUGAAACAAACAAAAGAAGGAGGAACUCUAGCCUAAGCAUCCGAUUAAGUUCCAGAAGAAGCAUACCACCCUCAUUAUGCCAUGGGACUCUACAACGUGCACAGUGGAUAAGAUCAAACACUCUGCUCGGGAAUGGCAGUCGCUUAGAGCCCAUAACUGCUGAGAUGGCUGGAAUCUUUCUUUCAAGAGCAAACUGGACUUGAGCCUCGUGUUCAUCUUUUGGUGCAAGAGACAUUGCUAUAACAUCUCUUUCAAAGAGGAAACCGCCAAAGCUCGCCACUCCACAUCCAACAUCCAAUAUGACCCGAUUUUAACACUAUACUGAAAUCAAGAAAUGAGUGUUCACCUGCUGAAGAAAAUCGAUAUAAUGAAGAGCUCCAUGGAUGAACUGUGUUCCACCACCAGGAAACGUCAAGAACUCGCCAGUGACCUUCACCCAGUUCUGAUGUCCUUUUACCUCAGCUAGCUUUGUGUGUGGGACAUUGUGGUACCAUAUCUACUAGAUCACAUGCCACUUGAUGGCCUCCUUAUAACCUUCUGGGAGGGGGACGAGACACGUUGAUUCUUUCGGUAUUCCAGAGCCAAAACCACUGGCUUCUGAACCCUGUUCGUGUUUUUUCUCAUCCUUCCGCUCUUCUUGUUGCUCCAUGUUUUCGUCCUUUGAUGUGCUCUCUUCUUCUUUGUUUCCGCUUUCUUCCUCUGCUGUGGUAUGUUCUUCCUGUUGGCCAUUCUCAUCUUUCAUGCUCUUCUCUCCCUUCCCGUUUUCUUCACUAGCUGUUGUCUUCUCCUCGUUUUGUUGUCCGGUUUCCUCAUUCCCUGAGUUUUGUUCCUCUGGUUGUCCGUUUUCUUCAUUCUUUGAGGUCUCUGAUGUUUCCCCCUGCCCCGUUUCCAUAGGUUGUUCUUGUUUGGUCGCAUCUGUGAAUGUCACAUCCGUAUUCGAAUCCUGUUCUUGCCCUUGUUUAUUUCCUUGUUCCACAUCCGGCUGUUCCUUCCCUUGUCCCUGCUCUUGCCCUUGAGUCCCUUUGGGCUGAGUCCCAGCGUCCUCGUCCCGCUGUUGUUUCUGUUCCUUUUCAAACUCCUUGACGACUUUUUUCAUCUGACCCUCCUCACUCUCUUGCACCGUCUGGUUCUCCUUGCCGUUAUCUUUCUCUUUUUCCUCGGAAAUUUUGUCAUCGUUGUUUUGUUGGGUCUCUUGUGUUUGAGUCUUUGAGCUCGUCGUUUCACUCUUCUCUUUCGCUGACUUCCGUUGCUCGUCUUCAGACUUUACGGCAUCGUCUGGAAGCUUUCCCGGAUUGUCUUCAAAUGCCUGUUGCUCAUCAGACUCUUGUUUCGUGGGUUCGGGCUCAUCAUUACCGUUUGAAGAGGCAGACACAUCACUCCUCUCUGUCUCUGCGACAGCCGCUCGAGUGGAGCCUUGUGUGAUCUGCGGUGGAAUAACGGAAUUGGAAGAAAGCAUCCACACCCCGAAGACACACAGAGCCACAAAGAUGACCAUUGUAAUGGUCGACGCAUAGGACGACGUCGAAGUGCGUUUGUUGCCACGUCCCCUCCCGAAGGCCAUCUUUACGGUCUUGCGUAUAGUACUAGUUAUGGAGAAAGAAGAAGAAGAAAAAUGAAGGAGUAAAAUGGGAGUUGAAGGAAGUAAAAAUAGAAGAAAAAGAAGAGAAAGAGAGGUUGUGAAGAGACAAGACUGGAUCAAAGAUCCUAUAGAGUCGGAUAUGGGACUUUCAAUUUCGUGUCUCUAAAUUUAGUUAUGGUCUCUGUGUUUCAUAUUUUGUUGUCCAUGAAAAAUUAGUGCCAUGUAAUCCAAUGUUAACUUGUAACGCCUAGUCAAGGAUAUAUUAAACAUGGCAAGCUUGUGCUUUUUUGGUAUAAUGUAUUCGAAGACUGUUUAAUUUGAAUUUUGAUUGAUUAAGU
This 2933-nucleotide long non-coding RNA is filed under the name Arabidopsis thaliana (thale cress). RNAcentral's name for it is "ncRNA (AT3G51075)". The record is from RNAcentral. Lineage: Eukaryota; Viridiplantae; Streptophyta; Magnoliopsida; Brassicales; Brassicaceae.